CAACGGAUAGACGUCCACUCAGCUGGGCAUAGGUUUCUUGUAGGGACCUUCACACGCCAAGGUCUUGCGCCGCCUGAAUCCAGCGGCUCCCUGCAACUCACCCUAUAUCGUCCGUCCACCAAGUGGCGGGUUCUUCUAACUCUGGGCUUUACGGUGCGAGGUCGCCUUAGUAUGCCCAUUUCA
Molecule: long non-coding RNA, 183 nt
Organism: Maniola jurtina (meadow brown)
Lineage: Eukaryota; Metazoa; Arthropoda; Insecta; Lepidoptera; Nymphalidae
Exons: 4
Source: RefSeq, a predicted model, not a curated record